Molecule: RNA transcript, 2092 nt
Organism: Trematomus bernacchii (emerald rockcod)
Lineage: Eukaryota; Metazoa; Chordata; Actinopteri; Perciformes; Nototheniidae
Gene name: MAM and LDL-receptor class A domain-containing protein 1-like
Exons: 7
Source: RefSeq, a predicted model, not a curated record
GAGCUGCAGGUUGUCAGAGAUCAGCUGUUCUGCUCUGAUCUCAGCUCUGAAGUCCAACAUCCAUCUGAGAGAUCUGAACCUGAGUGACAACGAUCUGAAGGAUUCAGAUGAGAAGCUGCUGAGAGAUCUUCUGGAGAGUCCAGACUGCAGACUGGAGACCCUCAGGAUCGGAAGAUGGGAUAAGCCGAUCACGAUCCAGAAGACCUGUGACAGGAAGUGAAGACACACAGAAAGUUUAUUCAUCACGGGGCGAGUUUGAGACGUCCAGAGGAGCGUGGAGGCAUUUUGGAGAAUACAGAAGAAGACUGCAGCUGAUGAGAGACUUCCUGUUAGCUCUCCUCAAUAUUGAACAAAAACAAUCCAUUGUACUUAAAGCUUUUCUUAAAGAUGUGUUGCACAUACACCUACUGCUACCUACCACCACCUCCCACCCAUCCCGGCACCAAAGAGGAGACCCCAUCGACCCCAGAUACCCCAACUCACUCUUCUUCAGGUUAGCUUGGAGCCCCGCCUUUACCUGCCCCAACAUCUCACUUUGAACGAUGUAGUCAUCCGGAUAUCUGCAUACUGAGAGUGGGACGCAGGACCCGGUCAAUGAGCUGCUGGAAGGGGGUCCACUGGACUGGAGGGGCGCUUGGAUCUGGUGAUGCCUUGCUCUUUCUGAAAGGGGAGGACAAAGGAGGUGCAAAGCAGCUAAAGACUUAGUAAAGGGUUGUGGGUCGUGUGCAUAGGCUAAUGCAAUGUGUCUGGCAGAGGGGACCUUAAGAUGGUCCAACAUGUGGCACUUGUAGAGUUUGGUUUCCCAAGCGGGUAGGAGGUUAGUUAGAGCCAUCUUCAGCAUUGCAUAGUGUUGAUGUCUCCAUAUUAAGUUGAAUAAUUAAAACGAAAGUUAAUAUAAUCAAAUAUAAUCUUGUAUAACCCACAAUGAAAAUAUUAUAUUUCAUGUUGUUCUAUAAUCCCAGUAUAUACAAACACAAGUAGUUUGUUAAAUUGAGUUUAAGGCCUAUUGUAGUUUAUGGGUGUCACUGUUUAAAGAGGGGGGACAGUUGUCUUCACUCACAGGCUGUACCCCCGACUCAAUGGAAAAGUACUGGAGCCCCAAAAUGUGUUCAGGCCAUACCAUAGGAGAAUAUGUCUGGAUGUCCAGUCCUGCACACCAGAGGUCAUGACCUUUCCCCACAGGGUAUAAAGGAGGUGUCUUUGGGUUUUCUUUGUGUUCCUAUGUGCAGCAUAAAAGCACUGGCUGAGAGGGAGAAAGCUCCAGAGCGGGGUCUCUCCUUGGUAGGUUCUCUCAACUUGGUAAGAUCUCUCAGAUUGAUUUGGUGAAUUGUUGAAUGAAAGCUUGAAUGUGUUAGAUACCACUGACCAUUUAUGAGGAGAUUCCUCUGGAUUCUGUCGGGUUAGACUUUUAAUGUUUCAACUGAAGAGGGCAGUUGAAGUUAGAAUUUAGUGUAAGAAAUGUAAAACUGAAUUGAGCUUUUAUAUUAGAAAAGUAGCACAGCAUGAUAUGUUUUGUAUGAUUGUCAUAUUGUAACGAGAGAAGGUAAAAACCUGUUUAAGUGUGGACCAUUUUCUUCAAAUAAAAUCAUCCCACCUUUUUGGAUUGGGAGAACUUAAAAUAAAUCUGCGCUCUCCUCUCCUGCUUAAAGUGUGUGACGCAGUGUGUUCAGCUCAGGAGUUCAGCUGCUCUCAGGAUCUGUGUGUGUCCGAGGGAAGUGUGUGUGACUUCACUGACGACUGUGGAGAUUACAGCGAUGAGGAAAACUGCUCUGGAUAUAAGAGGUGUGGUUUUGAAGAUGGAUUCUGUGACUUGAUGCAGAGCUCAGAGUCCAGAUGGAUCAGAACUACCGAGGCUCCUGGACUCAAACACGACCACUCAAACACAUCAGCUCACUUCCUGUCCCUUUCACCUGGAACCAGAACCUCUGCAGACCUGAUCAGUCCUUUCUUCCUGCCCACUGAAACCUGCCAGCUGAGAGACCCUCAAAUAACAUCUGUUUGAACAUUAAAGCACAGGAGAAAUGUUACUUUAGUGGGAAUGCUGACACAGCAUUCCCACUAAAGAACGAGAGAGGAGACGAGGACACGAGAG